GCCCUGAUGGUCUAGCGGUAUGAUUCUCCCUUAGGGCACAUCUUCAGAUUCACCUAUCUGGGAGAGGUCCCAGGUUCGAAUCCUGGUUAGGGCC
RNAcentral lists this transfer RNA (94 nucleotides) under Colletotrichum godetiae. RNAcentral describes it as "tRNA-Pro". It matches the Rfam family "tRNA". Rfam says of the family: Transfer RNA (tRNA) molecules are approximately 80 nucleotides in length. Their secondary structure includes four short double-helical elements and three loops (D, anti-codon, and T loops). The record is from RNAcentral. Lineage: Eukaryota; Fungi; Ascomycota; Sordariomycetes; Glomerellales; Glomerellaceae. RNAcentral also lists the same sequence under 1 other name.